Molecule: ribosomal RNA, 506 nt
Filed under: uncultured bacterium
Lineage: Bacteria
Description: partial 16S ribosomal RNA
Rfam family: Bacterial small subunit ribosomal RNA
Source: RNAcentral
AGUGAACGCUGGCGGUAGGCCUAACACAUGCAAGUCGAACGGCAGCACAGGAGAGCUUGCUCUCUGGGUGGCGAGUGGCGGACGGGUGAGGAAUACAUCGGAAUCUACUCUGUCGUGGGGGAUAACGUAGGGAAACUUACGCUAAUACCGCAUACGACCUACGGGUGAAAGCAGGGGACCUUCGGGCCUUGCGCGAUUGAAUGAGCCGAUGUCGGAUUAGCUAGUUGGCGGGGUAAAGGCCCACCAAGGCGACGAUCCGUAGCUGGUCUGAGGGGAUGAUCAGCCACACUGGAACUGAGACACGGUCCAGACGCCGACGGGAGGCAGCAGUGGGGAAUAUUGGACAAUGGGCGCAAGCCUGAUCCAGCCAUACCGCGUGGGUGAAGAAGGCCUUCGGGUUGUAAAGCCCUUUUGUUGGGAAAGAAAUCCAGCUGGCUAAUACCCGGUUGGGAUGACGGUACCCAAAGAAUAAGCACCGGCUAACUUCGUGCCAGCAGCCGCCGUAA